GGCAACGUGGCCGAGUGGACCAUGGCGACUGCCUCGAAAGCAGUUCCCUUCGGGGGCGCAGGUUCGAAUCCUGCCGUUGUCG
This 82-nucleotide transfer RNA is filed under the name Fusarium pseudograminearum. RNAcentral describes it as "tRNA-Ser". It matches the Rfam family "tRNA". From Rfam's summary of the family: Transfer RNA (tRNA) molecules are approximately 80 nucleotides in length. Their secondary structure includes four short double-helical elements and three loops (D, anti-codon, and T loops). Lineage: Eukaryota; Fungi; Ascomycota; Sordariomycetes; Hypocreales; Nectriaceae. The record is from RNAcentral.